ACUCAGUUGAUGAAUCCCGAAUAGGACGAAACGCGCGUCCUGGAU
Molecule: non-coding RNA, 45 nt
Filed under: Schistosoma mansoni
Lineage: Eukaryota; Metazoa; Platyhelminthes; Trematoda; Strigeidida; Schistosomatidae
Source: RNAcentral